Non-coding RNA from Myodes glareolus (Bank vole), 2908 nucleotides. Lineage: Eukaryota; Metazoa; Chordata; Mammalia; Rodentia; Cricetidae. The record is from RefSeq and is a predicted model, not a curated record.
CCAAGCAUGGACCCUCAGCACUUAGGAGGCAGAGGCAGGAGGAUUUCUAUGGGUUCGAGGACUGACUGGUCUGCUUAAUGAGUACCAGGGCAGUCAGGACUAUGGCGAGAAAGACCCUGUCUCAACAAUACAAGACACACAUAUAUAUGUGUGUGCGUGUGUGUGUGUACAUGUGCGAGCACACACACACAAGCAGCAUUGUUAGUAAUCAUGGAACUUUAAAAAUCAACUUUGCAGCUAGAUUAUCCUAGCACUCUAGAGGCUUUGACCACACCUACUGGACCAUGGUUUUGAGUCUGAGGCUAGGAGAGCUCCGAAAGGAUUUCCAGGCAGGCCUGAGCUACGUAAUGAAAUCCUGUCUCGAAAAGGAAACACUGCUGUAAUAAAUCAGUUAUACGUGUUCUGUCCUACCUUCUAAUGCUUCUUCAUAUAGUCAUCCAUGAUGAUAGCAACAAUGAUAUAAAUAUAUUUUGCUACUCAAAUUUAACUCUCUCUUAUACCUUGAUAAAUAGCCUAUCUUGUGACAUUAGCUUCCCGUGAGUGUUAGCCAUGGCCAAAUAAUUUAUUUGACCAAUUUAUUAUGACCAUGUUCAAAUGAAUCACAUAAUAGAAUAACAUAAACAGUGGUUGAUUUUUAAGAAUUCAUUUUAAUUGUGUGUGUGUGUGUGUGUGUGUGUGUGUGUGUGUUUGGGUGUCUGUAGAGACCAGAAGAAGGUGUCAGAUUCCCUAGAGCUAGAGUUAUAGGUGCUUAUAGUCUGUCAGAAGUAGGUGCUGGCAGCUUGAACUUUGGUCCCUGCAAGAGGAAAAGCCCUUAAACCGUUGAGCCAUUUCUAGCCCAACUACUGUUUAUUUUAAAUACUUGUUUGCAUUAUUCCCUAUUUCCACCGCUCUCCACAGCUCUUAGAGACAGGCAUAGCAUCUUCUAUUUAUUUCUCAGCGGUGGAGUCACCCCCAGUUUAAAUACAUAUAUUCAUACUAACAUCUAUCUUAUUUUCAAAUUUAAUGCAUGAAUUAACCUGUGAUGGUUGUAAUUUGCAUCACAAUAAGAGGAAGAAGUUGAGCAUAUUCUUGUCUACUUCUUUGUUAGUUAAUACUUUAUGAAUCUUCUAUCCAUGUCCCUUUCCCACUAACAUCCAAGUUUUGAUAUUUUUCUGUCCAAUUUUUGUGAGAUUUUAAUGUCAUACUAGCAGGCUUUUGUUGUUGUUGUUUCUUUUAGGAAACUAUCACCCUGGUCCCAUCUGCUUGAGUCCUGGUAAUUGUUCUUGAGAUUUGAGUACAUUUUAUGUUUCUCCUCUUUAGUUCACCCACUGAAAGCCUAGAAAUAUGUAAUUCUACUAACUAUAUGAUGCCUACUCUUUCUUUGGUGGUUUUCUGUUUUUAUUCCUUUUACAACUUAAUAUUAAUAUAACUGGACUUAUUUUGAUAUAAAGCCUACAGAACUUAACUUGAAAUUUCUUUAAAUUUGAGUAAAGUUAAAUUUAAUGUGAGAUUCAGGUUCCCUACAUAGAUAAAAUAAUAAUAAUAAUAAUAAUAAUAAUAAUAAUCCACUUAUAUUUCAGAAUCUUCGAAGAGAAUUCUGGGAAGGUCAACUAUUCGAUGGCUAAGGACACCCCAUUCCUUUACUGUACUUUGUCAGAAAAUUAAGAAUAGAAGGAACAUCUUCAACUUGAUCAAAGUCAUUCAGGAUGUUAAAAUCAUGCUUGAUUUGGGGCCAGAUAAGAAGCAAGGCGGGUGUGUUCCCUUUCAAUACCUCUGCUUAACUUAGCACUGAAAUUCCUAACAAGCACAGUACAGAGAAAAAGCAAAGACCCUGAGGCAAGAAGAUAACUGGUUUUUGGCAGAUAGCACACUCAUGCAUGUGGGAACCUGAGCAGUAUACCAAAACCAUGGGACCAGUCAGGGAAUUUCACCAAACAGUUAAUAUAUAAAUCUCAGUUGUGCUACACAGUCAAACAAUAAACAAUAAAAAGGGAAACUUUAAAACUACCAUUUUCACAGGACCAAGCACCUAAGAAUAAAUCCGGCACUUACUCUGGAUGGAAUGUAAUAUGGUUGCAUAUCACGGAGGGCAUUGUGAAGUCUCAGAAACUUACCGAUGUCUUUCUUCCACACUGACCUGCUGAUUCCAUGCAAUCCCAGUCAAAAGCUCAGCAAGUGUUUCCGAAGAAAUUAUAUUUGCAAAUGUCAUGCAAAACCAAAGGAGACAGAUUACACAAAACCAUCUGAAGGGCAGACAGCUGAAAGAGUUAUACUGUCUGAUUUCAAGACUUUGAAUGAAACUACAAUAAUCCAAACUGUGUGGUAUUGUCUGAAGAAGCAGGUUAGUCGGAGGAACAUUAGGUUUUGCAUGAAAUCGGAGCCGGAAUUAUUUGAGAUUUGGUGGCACACACACUUAAUCCUAGCACUCGGGAGGCAGGUGGAUCUCUGUGUCUACAGAUUGGGUCCAGGAUAGCCAGGGCUACACAGAGAAACCCUGUCUCGAAAAAUUAAAAGAAAGAAAGAGGCAAGCAAAACAGAAAUUUUAGAAAAAGAUCCUUUUGUACGUGUUUGGCUGAUUUUGAUAAAGGUCCUUUGAUAAAAGGUGACAGCUUUUUGUAAAUUUGACAUAAACCUAGACACAUACCUGAGAAGAGAGAAUGUCCACGGGGAAGCUGUCUCCCUCAGAUUGGUCUUGUGGGCAUGUCUGUGGGGGCAUUUUCUUGACUGCUGAUUAAGGUGAGUGGGCCCAGCCCACUGUGGGAGGUGCCAUCCCUGGGCAGGGGGGCCUGGACUAUGUAAGAUGUGCAGUUGAGCAAGCCAGGAAAGGAAGCCUGUAUCAUCCCUCCAUGAUCCCUGCUUCAGUUUGUGCCUCGGCUUCCCCUGAUGAUGGAUUGUAACCUGUCAGCCAAAUAAACCUCUUCCUCCACAA